RNAcentral lists this ribosomal RNA (470 nucleotides) under uncultured bacterium. Its description in RNAcentral is "SSU rRNA". It matches the Rfam family "Bacterial small subunit ribosomal RNA", at positions 26 to 518 of the family's 1533-position model. The record is from RNAcentral.
AGAACGAACGCUGGCGGCAGGCUUAACACAUGCAAGUCGAGCGAGAACCAGGGCUUGCCCUGGGGAAAGCGGCGAACGGGUGCGUAACACGUGAGCAACCUGCCCCAAAGACCGGGACAACCCGAGGAAACUCGGACUAAUACCGGAUGCCCUCACCGGGCCGCAUGGUCUGGUGAGGAAAUGGAUUCCGCUUUGGGAUGGGCUCGCGGUCUAUCAGCUUGUUGGUGGGGUAACGGCCUACCAAGGCGACGACGGAUAGCUGGUCUGAGAGGACGAUCAGCCACACUGGGACUGAGACACGGCCCAGACUCCUACGGGAGGCAGCAGUGGGGAAUCUUGCGCAAUGGGGGAAACCCUGACGCAGCGACGCCGCGUGCGGGAUGAAGGCCUUCGGGUUGUAAACCGCUUUCAGCAGGGACGAAUUGACGGUACCUGCAGAGAAGGCCGGCCAACUACGCGCCAGCAGCCGC